RNAcentral lists this ribosomal RNA (245 nucleotides) under uncultured bacterium. RNAcentral's name for it is "partial small subunit ribosomal RNA". It matches the Rfam family "Bacterial small subunit ribosomal RNA", at positions 26 to 285 of the family's 1533-position model. The record is from RNAcentral.
AGAAUCAACGCUGGCGGCGUGCCUAACACAUGCAAGUCGAACGAGAAAGGGAUUUCGGUCCUGAGUAUAGUGGCGCACGGGUGAGUAACACGUGAAUAACCUACCUCCGAGUGGGGAAUAACUGAGAGAAAUCUUAGCUAAUACCGCAUAACACUUACGAGUCAAAGCAGCAAUGCGCUUGGAGAGGAGUUCGCGGCCGAUUAGUUAGUUGGCGGGGUAAUGGCCCACCAAGACGAUGAUCGGUA